UGUUGGUGCAUAAUCGGCAGAGAAUGGGUCAGUUGGGGAGACUGAGGCUGUUGAUGUGGCUAUUUGAAUACCUGUAACUGUGCCUGGGGCUGCUGGGCUCGGCCAAGUGGUCCCCUGGGGCAGGUUCAGGCCGCGGGGCUGGCGAGAGAAGGGUGUGGGGGGGAGGGGCUGAGGCUCCAGCAAGCGCAUCGGGGUUGACCACAGCACCGUCCGGGCUGCGCUGCUCUCCCUCCCUUUUGGGUAACACCAUACCUCGUACUUGACUUGGUUGUACCGCACCGUUCCCUGCACACGCGGCCCUUAGGCCUGGGGAAGGUUGGCACGGGCUCCCCUCCUUGGGCAGGGGCAGGUCCGUGCCCACCUUAAGGAGGUGCUGGGCACAGGCAGCUAGAAGCACCUGGGGCGCCUCCUUCCCCGGGGGCUGCCGCCUCCCCGGCUCCCCCCAGCCAGUGUGGCCGGGUUGGUGGGGCGCCUGGCAGAGACACGCCUCUUAUGCAAUAAUGAAACAAAAGGCCCGCAAGCGGCCUGGGAGAAAGGGCAGGUACUUUAUGCUGAAAUUGUAACCUGGAAUUGCAUCUCAGAAUAUGUGGUAUCUUUUGUGUUAAUUUUUUUUUGAUAAAUCUUCUGUGUUUAUUGGAUCCUUUGCAUCUGUACAUCUUGUUUUUGCCCCAAAGGCAUUAGAAAGCAACUGAUUUCUAUCUGUCAACUAGGGUCUUUUUGGUAUAUGGCACCUGAGUGACAGAAAGUGUAAUGUUGUACAUCCAGGACAGUUACUUUGAAUAGUUCCUACACUGUAAAAAUUUGCUUUUUGUUCAUUGUUUUAAUGUUAAGAAAAUGAUUCUGUUAAACAUUUUCCCCCUGCUAUGAAACUGAAACUCAGUUUCAAUGUUUGUCUAAAAAAAUUAUGGAUGUCAUUUCCAGAAAUAUCACUACUCUGGAUUAAAAUCUUUUUGUAAAAGCAACAAGUCAUUCACGUGGUUACGCAAAGUUUUACAAAGUUCAAAUUAUAAUGAAGCAUCAUCCAUUGAAGCUAUUUUACU
Molecule: long non-coding RNA, 1040 nt
Filed under: Phascolarctos cinereus (koala)
Lineage: Eukaryota; Metazoa; Chordata; Mammalia; Diprotodontia; Phascolarctidae
Description: lncRNA (ENSPCIG00000033488.1)
Source: RNAcentral